AUUCCAGCUCCAAUAGCGUAUAUUAAAGUUGUUGCGGUUAAAAAGCUCGUAGUUGGAUUUCUGCUGAGGACGACCGGUCCGCCCUCUGGGUGAGUAUCUGGCUUGGCCUUGGCAUCUUCUUGGAGAACGUAGCUGCACUUGACUGUGUGGUGCGGUAUCCAGGACUUUUACUUUGAGGAAAUUAGAGUGUUUCAAGCAGGCACACGCCUUGAAUACAUUAGCAUGGAAUAAUAAGAUAGGACCUUGGUUCUAUUUUGUUGGUUUCUAGAGCUGAGGUAAUGAUUAAUAGGGACAGUUGGGGGCAUUCAUAUUCCAUUGUCAGAGGUGAAAUUCUUGGAUUAACGGAAGAUGAACUUCUGCGAAAGCAUCUGCCAAGGAUGUUUUCAUUG
Molecule: ribosomal RNA, 389 nt
Filed under: Dinophyceae sp.
Lineage: Eukaryota; Dinophyceae
Description: partial small subunit ribosomal RNA
Rfam family: Eukaryotic small subunit ribosomal RNA
Source: RNAcentral